RNAcentral lists this ribosomal RNA (562 nucleotides) under uncultured Flavobacteriia bacterium. RNAcentral describes it as "bacterial SSU rRNA". It matches the Rfam family "Bacterial small subunit ribosomal RNA", at positions 8 to 570 of the family's 1533-position model. The record is from RNAcentral. Lineage: Bacteria; Pseudomonadati; Bacteroidota; Flavobacteriia.
AGGGUUUGAUCAUGGCUCAGGAUGAACGCUAGCGGCAGGCUUAACACAUGCAAGUCGAGGGGUAUAGUUCUUCGGAGCUAGAGACCGGCGCACGGGUGCGUAACGCGUAUGCAAUCUACCUUUUACAGAGGGAUAGCCCAGAGAAAUUUGGAUUAAUACCUCAUAGUAUGUGAGAAUCGCAUGGUUUUCACAUUAAAGUUCCAACGGUAAAAGAUGAGCAUGCGUCCCAUUAGCUAGAUGGUAAGGUAACGGCUUACCAUGGCUACGAUGGGUAGGGGUCCUGAGAGGGAGAUCCCCCACACUGGUACUGAGACACGGACCAGACUCCUACGGGAGGCAGCAGUGAGGAAUAUUGGACAAUGGGCGCAAGCCUGAUCCAGCCAUGCCGCGUGCAGGAUGACGGUCCUAUGAAUUGUAAACUGCUUUUUGUACAGGAAGAAACACUCCCUCGUGAGGGAGCUUGACGGUACUGUAAGAAUAAGGAUCGGCUAACUCCGUGCCAGCAGCCGCGGUAAUACGGAGGAUCCAAGCGUUAUCCGGAAUCCUUGGGUUUAAAGGGUCC